RNAcentral lists this ribosomal RNA (433 nucleotides) under uncultured bacterium. Its description in RNAcentral is "partial 16S ribosomal RNA". It matches the Rfam family "Bacterial small subunit ribosomal RNA", at positions 29 to 507 of the family's 1533-position model. The record is from RNAcentral.
AACGAACGCUGGCGGCAUGCCUAACACAUGCAAGUCGAACGAGACCUUCGGGUCUAGUGGCGCACGGGUGCGUAACGCGUGGGAACCUGCCCUUAGGUUCGGAAUAACUCCCCGAAAGGGGUGCUAAUACCGGAUAAUGUCUUCGGACCAAAGAUGUAUCGCCUUUGGAUGGGCCCGCGUUGGAUUAGCUGGUUGGUAGGGUAAAAGCCUACCAAGGCGACGAUGCAUAGCUGGUCGGAGAGGAUGAUCAGCCACACUGGGACUGAGACACGGCCCAGACUCCUACGGGAGGCAGCAGUGGGGAAUAUUGGACAAUGGGGGAAAGCCUGAUCCAGCAAUGCCGCGUGAGUGAUGAAGGCCUUAGGGUUGUAAAGCUCUUUUACCCGGGAUGAUAAUGACAGUACCGGGAGAAUAAGCUCCGGCUAACUCCGUG